AUGAACACCAUGUUAAUUCGCAGAUCACCCUGUAGCAGGUCUUCUAAUUCUGCGCCAAAAGCUUCUGUUUCUGGGUCCAAUUCUUCACCAAAUUCCAUUAAUUCUUCCCCGUAUUCUUCCGUCCAGUCAUCCUGCUCUGCUGCUCCGAGGGGUUCAUUCUGAUCAUCUGCAGAAGGUUCGUAGUCCAAUUGCUCAUCUUCAUAUUCCUCAGUGUAGUCGUCUUCUCCUUGUAACGAGGUAGACCCGAAUUUCUCUGGUGCCUGCGUGGUGUCGGGACGACUG
This 282-nucleotide long non-coding RNA is filed under the name Prunus persica (peach). RNAcentral describes it as "long non-coding RNA (PPER_LNC006106)". The record is from RNAcentral. Lineage: Eukaryota; Viridiplantae; Streptophyta; Magnoliopsida; Rosales; Rosaceae.